GCCUGGAUGGCUCAGUCGGUUGAGCGUCCGACUUCGGCUCAGGUCAUGAUCUCACAGCUCGUGAGUUCGAGCCCCACGUCGGGCU
RNAcentral lists this transfer RNA (85 nucleotides) under Felis catus (domestic cat). It matches the Rfam family "tRNA". From Rfam's summary of the family: Transfer RNA (tRNA) molecules are approximately 80 nucleotides in length. Lineage: Eukaryota; Metazoa; Chordata; Mammalia; Carnivora; Felidae. The record is from Rfam by way of RNAcentral.